UACGUAGGGUGCAAGCGUUAAUCGGAAUUACUGGGCGUAAAGCGUGCGCAGGCGGUUUUGUAAGUCUGUCGUGAAAGCCCCGGGCUCAACCUGGGAAUUGCGAUGGAGACUGCAAGGCUUGAAUCUGGCAGAGGGGGGUAGAAUUCCACGUGUAGCAGUGAAAUGCGUAGAGAUGUGGAGGAACACCGAUGGCGAAGGCAGCCCCCUGGGUCAAGAUUGACGCUCAUGCACGAAAGCGUGGGGAGCGAACAGG
This 253-nucleotide ribosomal RNA is filed under the name uncultured bacterium. RNAcentral's name for it is "partial 16S ribosomal RNA". It matches the Rfam family "Bacterial small subunit ribosomal RNA", at positions 524 to 776 of the family's 1533-position model. The record is from RNAcentral.